AACGAUAACAUAAACUUGCUUUUAUAUUACUAUGCAGUGAGCUCGACUUGAAAGUCAUCACUUACACACAUAUUUUUAACUAUGAAUUUAAUUCUAGAAAUAAAACAGUGCAUUGAAUUACAAUGUUUGUAGAUCGGCACACACAGUUUAUUUACUUUUUAUGUUACAGAAUGGCACUCACAUAUUUACUUUGGACAAGGACUUUAACAAAUUGAAGACAGACGAGGAGCUCGCGAAACACGUAGGUCAGAUUGUGAAGAAGUUAAAGACCUUCAAAGUGGCUGUGCAUCCUCGGAUUCGUUUGUUUUAUCAGCUUCUAAAACGUGGCAUGUCAGACUUCGCCCAAAGAAAUUCGGACUCUCUAUAUAACCCACGCGUGUACCAGAUCGAGGAUAAUAAACCCUAAAAGAUGUUUUGUACUUUACAUAUCUAAUGUGUAGAACUUUUCUACCAUAUUAAAGCAUAACUUAUUCA
Long non-coding RNA from Pieris rapae (cabbage white), 474 nucleotides. RefSeq lists it as uncharacterized. The transcript is spliced from 2 exons. The record is from RefSeq and is a predicted model, not a curated record. NCBI's taxonomy places the organism in Eukaryota, Metazoa, Arthropoda, Insecta, Lepidoptera, Pieridae.